RNAcentral lists this ribosomal RNA (253 nucleotides) under uncultured bacterium. RNAcentral's name for it is "partial 16S ribosomal RNA". It matches the Rfam family "Bacterial small subunit ribosomal RNA", at positions 524 to 776 of the family's 1533-position model. The record is from RNAcentral.
UACAGAGGCCCCGAGCAUUAUCCGGAAUCACUGGGCGUAAAGGGUGUCGAGGCGGCUCUGUUAGUCUCGCGUAAAAUCCGUGGGCUCAACCUACGGUUCGCGCGGGAAACGGCAGAGCUCGAGGGCGCAAGAGGUCUAUGGAACUCAUGGUGUAGGGGUGAAAUCCGUUGAUAUCAUGGGGAACACCGAAGGCGAAGGCAGUAGACUGGUGCGUUCCUGACGCUCACACACGAAAGCCAGGGGAUCGAACGGG